GGAAGAAGGCCCCUCGCCCUCGGCGGAGCGCUAUCUUCCACUGGUUUUCCAGGUUCCCCGGCUUGCUACCGGGCUGCUCCGUGCAUCUUUCCCCCCAGGCGUCAGGAACUGCGCCCUCAUGGCGGAGGUGAAGGUGAAGGUGCAGCCGCCCGACGCGGAUCCGGUCGAAAUAGAAAACAGGAUUAUAGAAUUAUGUCACCAGUUCCCUCAUGGAAUCACAGACCAAGUAAUUCAGAAUGAAAUGCCUCAUAUAGAAGCCCAGCAGCGGGCAGUAGCCAUCAAUAGGUUGUUGUCUAUGGUAAGGUGAAUCUAACUAUUUUGCAUAAUUACUGAUAUGCUGAUUAUCACUGGUUUUUAUUAUGUAGUUGUGAUGGUUAAUUUCAUGUCAACUUGACUAAGAUACAGGAUUCCUAGAUAUCUAGUUAAACAUUUUAUUGGAGUGUCUGUGUGGGUGUUUCUGAAAGAGGUUAGUUAGCAUUUUGAAUUGGUGAACAGAGUAAAGUAGAUAUGGGUCCAGUUGGGUGAGCAUCAUCCAAUCCAUUCAGGGCCUAAAUAGAACAAAGUGGCAGAGGAAGAUUGAAUUCACUCUUUCAAUUCAAUCUUGAGCUG
RNAcentral lists this small RNA (609 nucleotides) under Pongo abelii (Sumatran orangutan). Its description in RNAcentral is "processed transcript". Lineage: Eukaryota; Metazoa; Chordata; Mammalia; Primates; Hominidae. The record is from RNAcentral.